UGGGGAAUAUUGGGCAAUGGGGGAAACCCUGACCCAGCAACGCCGCGUGAGGGAAGAAGGUUUUCGGAUCGUAAACCUCUGUCCUUGGUGAAGAGAAGAAGACGGUAGCCAAGGAGGAAGCCCCGGCUAACUACGUGCCAGCAGCCGCGGUAAUACGUAGGGGGCAAGCGUUGUCCGGAAUGAUUGGGCGUAAAGGGCGCGUAGGCGGCCUGGUAAGUCUGGAGUGAAAGUCCUGCUUUUAAGGUGGGAAUUGCUUUGGAUACUGCUGGGCUUGAGUGCAGGAGAGGUAAGUGGAAUUCCCAG
This 303-nucleotide ribosomal RNA is filed under the name uncultured bacterium. Its description in RNAcentral is "bacterial SSU rRNA". It matches the Rfam family "Bacterial small subunit ribosomal RNA", at positions 355 to 673 of the family's 1533-position model. The record is from RNAcentral.